This 2357-nucleotide ribosomal RNA is filed under the name Klebsiella oxytoca. RNAcentral describes it as "bacterial LSU rRNA". It matches the Rfam family "Bacterial large subunit ribosomal RNA", at positions 591 to 2925 of the family's 2925-position model. The record is from RNAcentral. Lineage: Bacteria; Pseudomonadati; Pseudomonadota; Gammaproteobacteria; Enterobacterales; Enterobacteriaceae. RNAcentral also lists the same sequence under 1 other name.
GGGUGACUGCGUACCUUUUGUAUAAUGGGUCAGCGACUUAUAUUCUGUAGCAAGGUUAACCGUAUAGGGGAGCCGCAGGGAAACCGAGUCUUAACUGGGCGUUAAGUUGCAGGGUAUAGACCCGAAACCCGGUGAUCUAGCCAUGGGCAGGUUGAAGGUUGGGUAACACUAACUGGAGGACCGAACCGACUAAUGUUGAAAAAUUAGCGGAUGACUUGUGGCUGGGGGUGAAAGGCCAAUCAAACCGGGAGAUAGCUGGUUCUCCCCGAAAGCUAUUUAGGUAGCGCCUCGUGAAUUCAUCUUCGGGGGUAGAGCACUGUUUCGGCUAGGGGGUCAUCCCGACUUACCAACCCGAUGCAAACUACGAAUACCGAAGAAUGUUAUCACGGGAGACACACGGCGGGUGCUAACGUCCGUCGUGAAGAGGGAAACAACCCAGACCGCCAGCUAAGGUCCCAAAGUCAUGGUUAAGUGGGAAACGAUGUGGGAAGGCCCAGACAGCCAGGAUGUUGGCUUAGAAGCAGCCAUCAUUUAAAGAAAGCGUAAUAGCUCACUGGUCGAGUCGGCCUGCGCGGAAGAUGUAACGGGGCUAAACCAUGCACCGAAGCUGCGGCAGCGACACUAUGUGUUGUUGGGUAGGGGAGCGUUCUGUAAGCCGUUGAAGGUGGCCUGUGAGGGUUGCUGGAGGUAUCAGAAGUGCGAAUGCUGACAUAAGUAACGAUAAUGCGGGUGAAAAACCCGCACGCCGGAAGACCAAGGGUUCCUGUCCAACGUUAAUCGGGGCAGGGUGAGUCGACCCCUAAGGCGAGGCCGAAAGGCGUAGUCGAUGGGAAACAGGUUAAUAUUCCUGUACUCGGUGUUACUGCGAAGGGGGGACGGAGAAGGCUAUGUUGGCCGGGCGACGGUUGUCCCGGUUUAAGCAUGUAGGCGGAUGUUCCAGGUAAAUCCGGAACGUUACUAACGCUGAGGUGUGAUGACGAGGCACUACGGUGCUGAAGUGACAAAUGCCCUGCUUCCAGGAAAAGCCUCUAAGCAUCAGGUAACAUCAAAUCGUACCCCAAACCGACACAGGUGGUCAGGUAGAGAAUACCAAGGCGCUUGAGAGAACUCGGGUGAAGGAACUAGGCAAAAUGGUGCCGUAACUUCGGGAGAAGGCACGCUGAUGGUAAGUGAAGCGACUUGCUCGUGGAGCUGAAAUCAGUCGAAGAUACCAGCUGGCUGCAACUGUUUAUUAAAAACACAGCACUGUGCAAACACGAAAGUGGACGUAUACGGUGUGACGCCUGCCCGGUGCCGGAAGGUUAAUUGAUGGGGUUAUCCGUAAGGAGAAGCUCUUGAUCGAAGCCCCGGUAAACGGCGGCCGUAACUAUAACGGUCCUAAGGUAGCGAAAUUCCUUGUCGGGUAAGUUCCGACCUGCACGAAUGGCGUAAUGAUGGCCAGGCUGUCUCCACCCGAGACUCAGUGAAAUUGAACUCGCUGUGAAGAUGCAGUGUACCCGCGGCAAGACGGAAAGACCCCGUGAACCUUUACUAUAGCUUGACACUGAACACUGGUCCUUGAUGUGUAGGAUAGGUGGGAGGCUUUGAAGUGUGGACGCCAGUCUGCAUGGAGCCAUCCUUGAAAUACCACCCUUUAAUGGCUGGUGUUCUAACGUGGGCCCCUAAUCGGGGUUGCGGACAGUGUCUGGUGGGUAGUUUGACUGGGGCGGUCUCCUCCUAAAGAGUAACGGAGGAGCACGAAGGUCAGCUAAUCCUGGUCGGACAUCAGGAGGUUAGUGCAAUGGCAUAAGCUGGCUUGACUGCGAGCGUGACGGCGCGAGCAGGUGCGAAAGCAGGUCAUAGUGAUCCGGUGGUUCUGAAUGGAAGGGCCAUCGCUCAACGGAUAAAAGGUACUCCGGGGAUAACAGGCUGAUACCGCCCAAGAGUUCAUAUCGACGGCGGUGUUUGGCACCUCGAUGUCGGCUCAUCACAUCCUGGGGCUGAAGUAGGUCCCAAGGGUAUGGCUGUUCGCCAUUUAAAGUGGUACGCGAGCUGGGUUUAGAACGUCGUGAGACAGUUCGGUCCCUAUCUGCCGUGGGCGCUGGAGAAUUGAGGGGGGCUGCUCCUAGUACGAGAGGACCGGAGUGGACGCAUCACUGGUGUUCGGGUUGUCAUGCCAAUGGCAUUGCCCGGUAGCUAAAUGCGGAAGAGAUAAGUGCUGAAAGCAUCUAAGCACGAAACUUGCCCCGAGAUGAGUUCUCCCUGACUCCUUGAGAGUCCUGAAGGAACGUUGAAGACGACGACGUUGAUAGGCCGGGUGUGUAAGCGCAGCGAUGCGUUGAGCUAACCGGUACUAAUGAACCGUGAGGCUUAACCUU